Molecule: ribosomal RNA, 800 nt
Filed under: uncultured bacterium
Lineage: Bacteria
Description: bacterial SSU rRNA
Rfam family: Bacterial small subunit ribosomal RNA
Source: RNAcentral
AGAGUUUGAUCCUGGCUCAGAGUGAACGCUGGCGGCAGGCCUAACACAUGCAAGUCGAGCGGCAGCGCAGCAGUAGCAAUACUGUGGGCGGCGAGCGGCGGACGGGUGAGGAAUACAUCGGAAUCUACCUUCUUGUGGGGGAUAACGUAGGGAAACUUACGCUAAUACCGCAUAAGACCUGAGGGUGAAAGCGGGGGACCGCAAGGCCUCGCGCGAGAAGAUGAGCCGAUGUCGGAUUAGCUAGUUGGUGGGGUAAAGGCCCACCAAGGCGACGAUCCGUAGCUGGUCUGAGAGGAUGAUCAGCCACACUGGAACUGAGACACGGUCCAGACUCCUACAGGAGGCAGCAGUGGGGAAUAUUGGACAAUGGGCGCAAGCCUGAUCCAGCCAUGCCGCGUGUGUGAAGAAGGCCUUCGGGUUGUAAAGCACUUUUGUUGGGGAAGAAAAGACCGUGGUUAAUAACCGUGGUUCAUGACGGUACCCAAAGAAUAAGCACCGGCUAACUUCGUGCCAGCAGCCGCGGUAAUACGAAGGGUGCAAGCGUUACUCGGAAUUACUGGGCGUAAAGCGUGCGUAGGCGGUUUGUUAAGUCUGAUGUGAAAGCCCCGGGGCUCAACCUGGGAAUGGCAUUGGAUACUGGCAAUCUAGAAUGUGGUAGAGGGUGGCGGGAAUUCCCGGGUGUAGCAGUGAAAUGCGUAGAUAUCGGGAGGAACAUCCGUGGCGAAGGCGGCCACCUGGACCAACAUUGACGCUGAGGCACGAAAGCGUGGGGAGCAAACAGGAUUAGAUACCCCUGGUAG